RNAcentral lists this long non-coding RNA (307 nucleotides) under Ananas comosus (pineapple). RNAcentral describes it as "long non-coding RNA (ACOM_LNC007891)". The record is from RNAcentral. Lineage: Eukaryota; Viridiplantae; Streptophyta; Magnoliopsida; Poales; Bromeliaceae.
UAACAGAUAGCUGGAUUAUAAACGAUUAUCCAAUCUUCAAAAUUUUAAUUUUACUAUCGAAUAUUUUAAUUUGUUUGAUUUGAAUCAGCCAAUAAUACUUUAACUUUAAAACUUAACAUAAUUAUACUUUAAUAAUUUUGUAGUUACAAAAAUUGUAUGAAACAAUAUUAUAAUUCAAUCUGUAGAGAUAAAUGAUACAUUCAAAACUGUAAUUAAAAGAUUAGAAAGUAAAAUUAAAAUUUUGAAAAGUUGAAAAGAAAAGUUAAAAUGGUCCGUAGUUCAGAUAAUUUCUAUACGCCUAUAUCUA